RNAcentral lists this ribosomal RNA (465 nucleotides) under Vreelandella stevensii. RNAcentral's name for it is "partial 16S ribosomal RNA". It matches the Rfam family "Bacterial small subunit ribosomal RNA", at positions 338 to 795 of the family's 1533-position model. The record is from RNAcentral. Lineage: Bacteria; Pseudomonadati; Pseudomonadota; Gammaproteobacteria; Oceanospirillales; Halomonadaceae.
CCUACGGGGGGCUGCAGUGGGGAAUAUUGGACAAUGGGGGGAACCCUGAUCCAGCCAUGCCGCGUGUGUGAAGAAGGCCCUCGGGUUGUAAAGCACUUUCAGUGAGGAAGAACGCCUGGUGGUUAAUACCCAUCAGGAAAGACAUCACUCACAGAAGAAGCACCGGCUAACUCCGUGCCAGCAGCCGCGGUAAUACGGAGGGUGCGAGCGUUAAUCGGAAUUACUGGGCGUAAAGCGCGCGUAGGUGGCUUGAUAAGCCGGUUGUGAAAGCCCCGGGCUCAACCUGGGAACGGCAUCCGGAACUGGCAAGCUAGAGUGCAGGAGAGGAAGGUAGAAUUCCCGGUGUAGCGGUGAAAUGCGUAGAGAUCGGGAGGAAUACCAGUGGCGAAGGCGGCUUUCUGGACUGACACUGACACUGAGGUGCGAAAGCGUGGGUAGCAAACAGGAUUAGAUACCCCAGUAGUC